UACGUAGGGUGCAAGCGUUAAUCGGAAUUACUGGGCGUAAAGCGUGCGCAGGCGGCUUUGCAAGACAGAUGUGAAAGCCCCGGGCUUAACCUGGGAAUGGCAUUUGGGACUGCAAGGCUGGAGUGUGGCAGAGGAGACUGGAAUUCCUGGUGUAGCAGUGAAAUGCGUAGAGAUCGGAAAGAACACCAACGGCGAAAGCACUCUGCUGGGCCGACACUGACACUGAGAGACGAAAGCUAGGGGAGCGAAUGGG
RNAcentral lists this ribosomal RNA (253 nucleotides) under uncultured bacterium. RNAcentral's name for it is "partial 16S ribosomal RNA". It matches the Rfam family "Bacterial small subunit ribosomal RNA", at positions 524 to 776 of the family's 1533-position model. The record is from RNAcentral.